Molecule: long non-coding RNA, 376 nt
Organism: Agrilus planipennis (emerald ash borer)
Lineage: Eukaryota; Metazoa; Arthropoda; Insecta; Coleoptera; Buprestidae
Exons: 2
Source: RefSeq, a predicted model, not a curated record
CGUUACUAAUGUUUGUAAUGUCUUGUACGAGCUCCAUGUAAAACUUUCAUCUACAAAGGUUAAUGUUGUUGAUAAAAAUCUGCUAAAAUUUUACCAUUUAACAAAACAUCGAUUAUUAAAAUUGGUAGUCGGAAUUUGAAAGGGGUAAAGAUGGUUAAAGAGGAAAGGGAAAGCGAAAACAAGAUAAAUGUUAACUGACAAUAAUCGAGGAAAAUCAGAUGUGGAUCUAUGAUGAUGCAAAUGAUGCUGUAUGGCGUCGAGCCUCCAACUGAUAUGGGGUCCAAAUAUAAACGUUCUAGGAACUCCAGAAAGUUGUGCAAGGGGCAGUGAAUGCCCAAGAUCCAGCACCAGUUAACUCAGUUUUAAUUAGUAUGGU